This 5641-nucleotide long non-coding RNA is filed under the name Prunus dulcis (almond). RNAcentral describes it as "sRNA ncRNA". The record is from RNAcentral. Lineage: Eukaryota; Viridiplantae; Streptophyta; Magnoliopsida; Rosales; Rosaceae.
GUGGUUGGCUUCUGCACAACAAAAUGGAGAAGACAGAAAAAGCCCACUGUCUGGUCCUCUUCUGUCCAAUCCAAGGCCACAUUAAUCCCAUGCUCCAAUUCUCCAAGCGUUUAGAGUACAAAGGACUCAGGGUCACAUUGAUCACUACCCGCUCUGUUCACAAGGCCACGCAUGAAGGAGGAGGAGAACAAUCUACAACAUCAUUCUCUUCCAUUGCAUUGGAGACCAUUUCUGAUGGCUUUGAUGGAGAAGGUGGGAGUGCCCAAGCAGAGAGCAUCCAGGCCUACAGGGACCGUGUUCGGGAAAUCGGCUCACAGACUUUGGCUGAGCUCAUUGACAAGCUCUCUGCCUCAGGCCACCCUGCGGAUUGUCUAGUUUAUGAUCCAGUUUUUCCUUGGGCUCUUGAUGUGGCCAAAAGGGUUGGGAUUGCUGCGGCUGCUUUCUUCACUGUAUCUUGUGCUGUUACCAACAUAUACUCACUUGUCCAUGAUGGGCUGCUCAAACUUCCUCUCAAUCCUGACUCUGAGAUUUUGCUGCCUGGAUUGCCACCUCUUCAACCUUCAGACACCCCAUCUUUCAUCUAUGUUCCUGAAUCUUACCCUGCUUUCCUUAAACUGUCUGUAGAUCUGUUCUCUAAUCUUUGCAAAGCUGAUUGGGUCUUCUGCAACACAUUUUAUGAGCUGGAACAAGAGGUAAACAAAAUUGACGAGGUGGUUUUCGGUUCCAAAUUAAUUCAUUCUCUUGAAAGUUAACGCGCAAAACACUGCUAGAGUCACCAAAUUUGUUCACCAAAUUAAUUAUCUGUCACUACAUGCAUCACUACCCUACAAAAUUAAUGGCUAUGACGAUCUUAUGAUUUAUGUGUGAAGUCUCCAAAUAUUAAUGACUUCUUUGACCAUAAUUAUGAUUCAACUUGCUGUUUUAUUUUUCUCUCCUUUUACGCAUAGGUGAUAGAAUAUUGGAUGACAAAGUUUUCGACAUUAAGGACGAUUGGACCAACCAUACCAUCUAUGUACCUGGAUAAGCGUCAUGAAGACAACAAGGAAUAUGGUCUCAGCCUCUUUAAGCUAAACAGUGAUGCCUGCAUGAAAUGGUUAAAUGCAAAGCCAAAAGGGUCUGUAGCAUACAUGUCGUUCGGCAGUAUUGCAGAACAGGGAGAAGAGCAAAUGAAGGAAUUGGGUUUGGGUUUGAAGAGAAGCAAACGCUAUUUCUUGUGGGUGGUGAGGACAUCAGAAUCAGUUAAGCUGCCAAAAGGGUUUGCAGAGGAGACAUCUGAGAAGGGUUUGGUGGUUUCAUGGUGCCCUCAAUUGGAAGUUUUGGCACAUGAGGCUGUAGGAUGCUUUGUCACACACUGUGGUUGGAACUCUACAUUGGAGGCCUUGAGUUUGGGAGUUCCAAUGGUGGCAGUGCCACAAUGGGCUGACCAGAGCACCAAUGCCAAGUUCAUCAUGGAUGUGUGGAAAAUAGGGCUUAAAGCUCAAGCUGAUGAGAAAGGGAUAGUGAGAGGAGAAGAAAUAGCAAAUUGUGUGAGAGAAAUAUUGGAUGGGGAGAGAGGGAAGGAGAUUCGAAAGAACGCUUCGAAUUGGAAAGCAUUGGCCAAGAGUGCAGUGGAUGAAGGUGGAAGUUCUGAUAAAAACAUUGAUGAGUUCAUUGCAAAACUGGUUCAGAAUUAGAACUAGCUAGGCAAAGCUGUGGUGUAUUUCUGAAAAAAAAUUCCUUGUACAAGUCCUCUUGUCAAAAAUGUUAUUAGGGACUGAUUAAUAAUUUCCAUGACUAAUCAUUUUUAAACGUCAGAAAUUCGUGUCUUCACUAUUUUGAUUUUAUGAAAUAUGAAAAGUAAAUUAUAAUGAAUACGAAAACUUUAUGAUUAGAAAAGUUUAGGGACCCACAAAGACUAAAUUAUGUGCAUAAUUUUCAAGGGGACAAUUGUGCUAUCAUACUUUGUUUCUCACCACACAUACGUGUUGUUAACAUAUCAACCCCAGCCCAUCCAAACCCAAGAUAAACAACCUAGCUCACCCCAUUUUGAGGAGUAAUCUCUACAAUAUUCUAGAAGCACCACAAGUGUAAACAACGAAGUGAUAAUAUCGGUUACCACUAAAAAUAUCUAGAAUAAAGGAUAUAUGUAGAUUAGUCUAGGAGAACAUAAAAGCCCAAGUUGAAGUGGAAAAGUACGUCAGCAGCAAAGCUUGGAGAUUUGUCUGGAAGAUAAACAAUUUUGUGACCAUAUUCCUUGUUCUCAAUCAAGAAGUGAAGACAGUGUCAAUAAGAAGAGUGAGCAAUAACCUAUAGAGUCCUUGUGAGAAGUGUGAGUUUAUCUCUAGAAGUGAGAAAGAGUGCUUGUAUGAGUUGGUCUUUUCUUUGAGAGUUGUCUUGUCGUAAUUUUUUAUGAGUCUAAUACAAGUCAAUUGUUUACUUAUUUUGUCUCUAAUAAAUCUAUAUUAGAGUUGCGUACUCUAAUUUUCUCAACACGUGUUUGGUUAUAUUGAGCAAAGUAAAACCAAUCAAUCAACUUGAAAGAAGGGCUCUCCCCUUUUUAGACUUAAUUUAGUUUCGUAAAAUUUAAAAGGACAAAAGGCUGGCUAGGCGAAGCACUGGUGUAUUUCUGAAAAAUUGCCUAGCUAUAGCACAAGUCCUCUGGUGGAAAAUAAAACUGAUAGGCUAUGUAAUGUAGUAGACUCAACUCAAAUUGUGUAAUUUGAUGCAUCUCUAUAAUUUAUUUGUGCUUUUUUUUGCAAUAGAAUGCAUGUUUUGUCCUUUGGGAGUUUGUCCAAAGUAUCAGCAAGAGGAAAAAAAGCCGAGACGUCUAUAAAAGUAAAUAAAAAUUUGAGCAAAGCAAUUUUUGUCAUGAUUCAUGUUAAGGAACACCCUCAUGACCUCAUUAGAUACAAGGCCUUAAGUUAAGAUCAACUUCGAAUAUAAUACAUGCAAUUUUGUUUUCUUCAUAUGGAUGUACACUAUUUUGAAUUAUGAAAUCUGAGAAUUUAACCUUAUGAUUAGAAAAGUUUAGGGACAUACGACAAGACAAAAUCAUGUGCAUGUAAUUUUCAAGGUGUUAGGUUAGGAUUCUUAGAAUUGACUUUUCUUACCAAAUGUACACUUUCAUGUAAUUCCUCUUAGCUAAUCUUUAGAAAUUAGGCCUUUGGUAUUUGCUACAAAGUUGAAGUAUAUUGAACAGCUUAUGAGGUUACAAACCCAAAGUAAUUUGUACAGUCAUUUGUAAUGAGCAUCAUUAGGAAAAUCAACAUAUGUAUCAAAACACUUUAUCUAGAUGACUUGUCAUAUAUGUAGGCCAAAUAUUUCCAACACGGGAUUUUUAAUGAAGGCAUGUGAUAACUCAUGGUAAAAGUUUCCCUUUCAAGUAUCUAAAUAUUUGGGAGCAUUUGAAAAAAAAAAAAACCUUCCUCAUCAAGUUUCAAUUUGGUAAUGAGCAAUACCCUUAUGACCACGUUCCAAGGCCAUAAGGUAAACUUCGAAUACAUGCAAUUUUGCAAAAUAUUUUCUUCGAUUCUUUCCCAUGCACUAUUCUGAAUUAUGAAAUAUGAAAAGCAAAUUAUAAUACGAAACUUUUCUAUUAAAAAAGUUUAGGGACGGACAAGACCAAAUCAUGUGCAUAAUUUUCAAGGGGACAAUUGUUCUAUCUUACUUUGUUUCACCACAAGUUCAGGAAGAUUGCUAGUCAAGCUUAAGCACGUUCAGAUAGUUACUUAUUUUGUUGACUUAAAAAAGAUAAUUACUUAUUUGGCAUACCGUCCCUUGGUUGGAGAUGCUCUAAGCCACUAAAACAAGUGGCCCACGCGAGAAAUUUAAAACCCACACAAAUGGACUCCAAUUUUGGCAUAUACCAAGGUUUUUGAUUGGGGACAGCGGCCUCUACUAAUCUAGCAAAUGUGGUUGGCUUCUUCACAACAAAAUGGAGAAGAGAGAAAAAGCUCACUGCCUGGUUUUGUUCUAUCCAAUCCAAGGCCACAUUAAUCCGAUGCUCCAAUUCUCCAAGCGUUUACAGCACAAAGGAGUCAAAGUUACAUUGGUCACUACCCAGUCUGUUCACAAGGCCAUGCAUGGAGAUGGAGGUGGAAAAUCACCAUCAUCAUUUUCUUCCAUUGCAUUGGAGACCAUUUCUGAUGGGUUUGAUGGAGAAGGUGGGAGUUCCCAAGCAGAGAGCAUCCAGGCCUACUGGGACCGUUUUCGGGAAAUCGGCUCACAGACUUUGGCUGAGCUCAUUGACAAGCUCUCUGCCUCAGGCCACCCUGCUGAUUGUUUAGUUUAUGAUCAAAUUUUGCCUUGGGCUCUUGAUGUGGCCAAAAGGGUUGGGAUUGCUGGGGCCGCUUUCUUCACUGUAUCUUGUGCUGUUACCAACAUAUACUCUCUUGUCCAUAAUGGGCUGCUCAAACUUCCUCUCAAUCCUGACUCUGAGAUUUUGCUGCCUGGAUUGCCACCUCUUCAACCUUCAGACACCCCAUCUUUCGUCCAUGCUCCUGAAUCUUACCCUGCUUUCUUUAAACUGUCUAUGGAGCAGUUCUCUAAUCUUGACAAAGCUGAUUGGGUCUUCUACAGCACAUUUUAUGAGCUGGAACAAGAGGUAAUCAAAAUUCAUGGCAUGGUUUUCGGUUCCAAAUUAAUUCAUUCUCUUGAAAGUUAACGCGCAAAACACUGCUAGAGUCACCAAAUUUGUUCACCAAAUUAAUUAUCUGUCACUACAUGCAUCACUACCCUACAAAAUUAAUGGCUAUGACGAUCUUAUGAUUUAUGUGUGAAGUCUCCAAAUAUUAAUGACUUCUUUGACCAUAAUUAUGAUUCAACUUGCUGUUUUAUUUUUCUCUCCUUUUACGCAUAGGUGAUAGAAUAUUGGAUGACAAAGUUUUCGACAUUAAGGACGAUUGGACCAACCAUACCAUCUAUGUACCUGGAUAAGCGUCAUGAAGACAACAAGGAAUAUGGUCUCAGCCUCUUUAAGCUAAACAGUGAUGCCUGCAUGAAAUGGUUAAAUGCAAAGCCAAAAGGGUCUGUAGCAUACAUGUCGUUCGGCAGUAUUGCAGAACAGGGAGAAGAGCAAAUGAAGGAAUUGGGUUUGGGUUUGAAGAGAAGCAAACGCUAUUUCUUGUGGGUGGUGAGGACAUCAGAAUCAGUUAAGCUGCCAAAAGGGUUUGCAGAGGAGACAUCUGAGAAGGGUUUGGUGGUUUCAUGGUGCCCUCAAUUGGAAGUUUUGGCACAUGAGGCUGUAGGAUGCUUUGUCACACACUGUGGUUGGAACUCUACAUUGGAGGCCUUGAGUUUGGGAGUUCCAAUGGUGGCAGUGCCACAAUGGGCUGACCAGAGCACCAAUGCCAAGUUCAUCAUGGAUGUGUGGAAAAUAGGGCUUAAAGCUCAAGCUGAUGAGAAAGGGAUAGUGAGAGGAGAAGAAAUAGCAAAUUGUGUGAGAGAAAUAUUGGAUGGGGAGAGAGGGAAGGAGAUUCGAAAGAACGCUUCGAAUUGGAAAGCAUUGGCCAAGAGUGCAGUGGAUGAAGGUGGAAGUUCUGAUAAAAACAUUGAUGAGUUCAUUGCAAAACUGGUUCAGAAUUAGAACUAGCUAGGCAAAGCUGUGGUGUAUUUCUGAAAAAAAUUCCUUGUCCAAGUCCUCUUGUGGAAAAUGUUGUUAGGG